Molecule: long non-coding RNA, 1906 nt
Organism: Astyanax mexicanus (Mexican tetra)
Lineage: Eukaryota; Metazoa; Chordata; Actinopteri; Characiformes; Acestrorhamphidae
Exons: 4
Source: RefSeq, a predicted model, not a curated record
AGGUGAAGGGGAGGAGUUGGAAAUUGGAGGGAGCCCGAGGGGAAAAACAACGAGAGUGGAGGCAGCGGUGAAACGAUAGUUAGCUUGUUAGCUAUCUAGUUAAAGGAGAGGUAAAAGUUUACCUACUCGGUAAACAAAGCUCUCUAAUGUUCUGACUGGUCGAUAAACUGGGAAUUAUGAGGACACUGACGUUUAAACCGAAGAGCGCUUGUGUAUAUUAUGUUUUUUAAAGAGUUUUCAAACCAAGUUCUGUUGGCUCAUUAGCGUUAGCUUAGCCAGUCCCGCUAGCUAGCUAAUUUAUUAACCUAGCUACAGGUGUGUUUGCUCGCCUGCCGCAUGUAAAGACCGAUGUGUUGGAUAAAACAAGCAAAAUGACUGUUUCUUCUGAACUAGCUGGAAACAGAAGCUGUUAAACUUUUACUCAGAUAGCGCUCAGAGUCUCCGAGCGGCUUUUAGGGGGAAAGCUCCAGUACGACACGCGCUCAGCGACGCCAACCUGAGGUUCCCGGAGCAGCUCAGAUCCCCCCCCCUCUCCACCAGUUAACCGAGGGCUCUUCCAUCAGAGAGCUGGAGAGCUGGAAGACCACCAGUCUCCUAAGGAACAGGUUCAGUGUCAGUCACGUGCAGGGUGCUGCCACUAGGGGUCAGUGUGAGAGAGGAAGAUUACCUGUGGCGGCAGCGGCGCAGGAAACGCAUAAUCUUGCGGGCGGCCUGGUCCUGUCUCUUAGUGAGCAAACUACUUCUGAAACAGCACAAAACGGAACAAGACAAAAGAAAAAUAAUGACUGCAGUGGCUAGGGCUACCUGAGUUUGUGCUGCACCAGGGCGGAGGCGGAGCUGCGUCUGUGGGGCCGGAGCCGGCGGAACUCUCUGUAGCUGCGGUAGUAUUGCUGGAUCAGCACGGCCGCCCGCCGACUCUGCUGGAACUUCUUCUGCUCGUGAUAACUCCGGAACUUACUCUGGAUAAGGAUGGCGGCCUGCGUCAUCUUCUUAUAAAGUGCAUACUGUCACACAGCAGAGGGACGCAGAGUCAGGGCUGAGAGCCAAAGUGAAUUUUCCACACAGAACAGCAUAAACAGAGAGCACUUAAGUUGUAAUGUAAACUAGAAAGUUUUGAUUAAAUUUAAAUUACAGUAUAGAAAUGAAUUUAACUUUGCUAUGAUACAGAUUAAUUUUUCAUAAAUAAAAUGGUCUUAAUGCAGCUGUUAUACCACUUGCCGGUUUUACAGACUUUUUACACAAAGCUUCUAGUGUCUUCUUAAACAGGGAUGUGUUACCUUCAAGGCUAUCCAUGUUAGCUUGGAAAAGAAGAGAAGAUUGAUGUAAGAUUAGAUACAGAAUGACUGGAGGCUAUUAGGCAUGCUGGUUCAGGGUGUGGGAUAGAUGGAAGUGAUAUGAACGAGCUCUUGUGGGAAAGGUAACAAAUUUGUCAUGGUCAUGAAAAAACCUUGAAAUUUUACCUUCAGUUAAAAUGAAAAAUUGGGGGAAAAAAAACGUUCCUGAUAAAUGGACCAAUAGUAAUACUCCAAAUCUAGGUUGAGGGGUUUCUUUCACCAGGUAUGUUUUUUUUUUUUUUUUGCAUGACAGAAACAAAAAGGACUCGUAAGUAGCCCUAAAAACAAUUCUUUGACUUGUAACCAUAGUACCCCUGUCAUGUAAGAGAAAGAAAAAAAGUAGUUGUUUGAGUGUUUAUGUUGAUCCAUAUAUAUCUUUUUUUUCAUAAUAUAAAGAACAACUUGUAUGAUUAGGGACCUAUGCAAUAUAUACUUCUAAAAUCCCCUAAUUCUGUUUCAGAUUUUUAGUUUUGGCAUUUAUGUCUGAAUAGAAUAAAAUGAAAUUAAAUCUAAUUCUGUCUACCGCGUUCUUCACAUCGCAGAAAUCCUAGAGCCCUACAUAUUUAAAUUAU